CCGGUGAGGGAUGGGCCCGCGGCCUAUCAGCUUGUUGGUGGGGUAACGGCCCACCAAGGCGACGACGGGUAGCUGGUCUGAGAGGACGACCAGCCACACUGGGACUGAGAUACGGCCCAG
RNAcentral lists this ribosomal RNA (120 nucleotides) under uncultured bacterium. RNAcentral's name for it is "partial 16S ribosomal RNA". It matches the Rfam family "Bacterial small subunit ribosomal RNA", at positions 215 to 334 of the family's 1533-position model. The record is from RNAcentral.